This is a long non-coding RNA of Papaver somniferum (opium poppy), 453 nucleotides long. RefSeq lists it as uncharacterized. NCBI's taxonomy places the organism in Eukaryota, Viridiplantae, Streptophyta, Magnoliopsida, Ranunculales, Papaveraceae. The transcript is spliced from 3 exons. The record is from RefSeq and is a predicted model, not a curated record.
UUUACAUUGGAUCUUGCAGCAUUGAAAACAACAUUAGACAACCAUUGAAACUCAACACAGUUGGAGCAUUUGAGGGUUGAUUCUUCCAUGGACAACUGUUAUACACAUGGCUCUUGUCACCACAAGCAAAUCAGGAAUGAGAGUUGGGAGUUGAAGUGUUAUUGCUCUUUUUUGGUUUGUGGCAUCUGCAAACCACUCAAAGUAUGAGCAGAUUGAGCAUCGUAAGAACUUCUCUCCAUCAUGAUCAUCAGUUUGAGCUUUCAACAACUUCCUCACUCUAUUGCAAGGUAUAUAAAGAAAAUGAAAUCAGACCGUUGGGAACAGUGUGAUUUUCUGGCCACAAAAUCUUUGCCACGUGUCCGGGUUCUCCACGUGUCAGAGUCGUCACGUCAGCGAGUUGGAACUAGGAUGAGUUAACUGCAGUUAAAGAAGCUUGAGUUAAAAAAAAGAGGG